Passer domesticus (house sparrow) is the source of this 6851-nucleotide long non-coding RNA. RefSeq lists it as uncharacterized. The transcript is spliced from 2 exons. NCBI's taxonomy places the organism in Eukaryota, Metazoa, Chordata, Aves, Passeriformes, Passeridae. The record is from RefSeq and is a predicted model, not a curated record.
CGGGGCGGGGGCACGGCCGGGGGGGCUGCCCGGCAUCACCGCGGCAACAGCACCGGGCCCGCCGGCAGCACCCCGCGCUCGCCCCGCAGCCCCCAUGGGACGGGAGGGAGUGCCGAGGAUAAGGAGCCGCCGAGCGCCCGCCGAUGCUGUGGAGGGAGGGCGCGGAUGGCGCUGCCCGGCCAGCGGUGGCAGCAGGAUGUCUGUGAGGGUAACGCGGGGCACUCGGAGCUGAAGCUGGACCCGUCUGGGCAGCGGGAGUAGCGGCACCCGCAGAGCGCCACAGAUGGCCCGACAACUCUGCAAAUGGUCCUGGCACCCCUCGUGUACCCUGCCCGUGUGUGUGCCUGCCAGUUUAUCCACCCGUGUGCCUGCCAGUGCAGCCGCCUGUGUAUUCACGGGUGCGCCCAUCUGUGCGCCCACCCGGGCACUCACCGGGUGCCUGUGCCACAGCACAGGCUGCACAGCCAGCGCCCCAGCCUGCUCCCCUCGACCCACGGAGCCCUACAGCCAGGGUGGAAAAGCCUGGUGCGUCCAGCUGGAGUCCAGUGAGUGCCAGGAGCUCCCAGUUUGAUGGCUGAAUGAUCCAGAUUUAAUGCCCUGUGUAGCAGCUGGUAUUUUCAUUGAUUCUUAGUUUUCAGACAGAUUUGCUAGGAUACUCUUCCAUUAAAAUCCCCUCCUAAGCACUCCUUUAUCCAUUAUUUUGAUCUGUGAAUUAGGGUCAGAUGUCCAAAGAACUGGGAAACUACUGUAAAACUACCAUUUUUGGUUGUUCUCUUGCUUAAUGCUGCUGUGAUUUCCCUAGUGAAAUGCUCUAACACUGAAGGAUCCCUCAUGAGAGACUUGAAAGUCUUGCUGUGACUGCCUGAUCCCUUGGGGCCGAGCAGCAGCGCUUUGCGAGGGUUUUUUGGCUGCAAUGUGCACCUACCUGCUUAACAGGAACGGGCUCACCCCGGGCAGGAACAGCAGCUCCUGCAGGCCGGCUGCUCCUGUGCUGCCUGCUGCCUUCAGCUCCCAUCCGUGCAGAAGGACACCCACAGAUUCCAGAUUUGCAAAUCAAUGAGAAAAGGACUUUUUCUGUCAUAAAAUGUCCUAUGGACACUAACCUCAGAGGCAUCAUAGUUUUAACUAUAAAUUCUCUUUUGUACUGAUUCAAGAUUUCUGUAAUGACUUAGGAAUGCUGUGUAGCUAACUUAAAUUUCCAGCUGACUCCACAAAAGAUACAUUCACUUUCACUUGGACCUGUAACCACAGCAUUUACACCAAUGCAGUUUUAACUCUGUCUUGAAAAUGAACUUCGCAAAAUUAUAUCAAUGAGCAUAAAGCAAGUGAACAAGUGUUUGAAGGACUCUGAAAGCCUUUAUUUUGCAACAAGUUUUCAAACAAAGUCUUCUUUAUCUCAUUUUCAAUCCCAUCUCUUGUGAGCCUAAAAGCUACCAAAAAGUGAAGCACAGAAUUUCCUUUCACAUCUUGCUUGCAUUAAUAUUAACUGAAUCUCAAGAGGGCAGGAGACAAAACACAUUCUCCAUUAUUAAAGACAGAUCAGGUUUAGCAUGGAUUUCCUCUGGAAGGCCAAGUCAAUUUAUAACUAGUUCUUUAACCUCUCACUCCUUCAAAUUUAUAAACAAAAGUAUUUCUAAGUUUUAUUGGCACAUGCUUGUGUAACUAUUAGUAGAAAAUAACCAUUUUAUUUGAUUUGAAUUCUGUAUUUAGACCUUGAAAAGAUCAAGUAAGUUGUCACCAUGUGACCCUGUUUUAAUCCAAUGCCUUCCUUAUGCUAUUUUUCUUAUUGCUGCCUGAAACAUCAACUCUAACAUUAGGCUUAAAUCAUGGAAAUACUUAUGAUUCUGCUCAGUUUUAGUCUCACUAAGAAAUUCACACAGCAUUCCCAAUACACACAAAAUUAACUACAUGCCUUUGGCCUUAAUUUUUUAAUAAUUUUAACUUUUUUUCCCCUUAGGUUUUCUCCUAAGAUCUUGAAGUCCAGUGUGAAAACUUGGCUUUACUUUGGUCACUGAAAAUCAGUCCAGCUGACUUUAGAGAUGUGAGAAUUUCAGUUCACAUUUUCUAUUUAUCUUCAAGACCCCAGGGCAUGGCUGAGUGUUAUCUCAUAUUCUUCUGAGAAGAAUAUUAUUUUCUGCUGAUCUGUUCUACAGAUUUGGGCUAAUAAAUGUAUUAUUUCCUUUUAAAAUUAAUUAUAUACAACUAAUAAAAUUUGUUUUUCCAGAGUAAGAAGCUGACAUUUGCCAACUGUACUUGCCUAGGGUGAAAAAGAAUACAAAACACUUACAUACAAAGUUUCUUCCUCUAAGAAACUAUAUUGUCAUGUGUCCCUAAGUUGUAUUCAGGAGAAUGCUGUGAAAUCCUGUGUUAGAAACUUCUUGCAUGGUGUUUAAAAUGCCAUGAACAUCUUUAUAAAUAUUAUGAGAAAAAAUUGAUGAUUCCUCUUCUGAACUCUGAUCCUGUCUCCCUUAAGGGAGCACAGAGCUGGGGAAAAAAAGUGAGAGAAGUAACAGAAAAUGCAGCCUUUGUCUCUGACUGCCAAGGAGUACUGAGCUGUUUUGAAAGCAAAGCCAGACAACAUGGUUUUAGCAGCCACUUCAUGACCUGGCAAAACAUGAUGCUGCUGAAAAAUAUGUUUCUCCUUUCCUCUUUUACUCUAGGCUCUGACCCAGGAGAGAAAAGGAUAGAGUUCUUUUGCUGUCCUAAACCAGGCUCUCAGGAGACAGAGAGCAAAAAUGAGAAAAGUGAAGAGCAGUAAGGAGGUGAUCCCCUGUAUCAUACCACAUAACUCCAUGACACUUAGUGGCUUUAGCAUUCUUCAGUGACUCCAGGCUGCAGGACCUUUGCCAACCUUGCUGUGGCUGCCUGAACAAGGCUGCAGUGCUGCUGUUCCAAGGAAGAUGCAAAAACAAACCCCUGUUGUGCUAGAGAUGGCACAUCCACCACUGCUGCCACCACUGCCAACCUUCUCAGCUGCACUUGGUGCUCAGACCUUAGCCCGGCUGUUGGAGACCAUGAUGAGAUUUGCCACUUCCCAGCAGUGUUAGGCACACACCACAAACACUAGGGAGACAUCCCUCCCCCUGCAGGGACCCACUGUUAGCCAUUUCAUGGUAAGAGCUGUCUUUAUAGCACUGUGCCAGAAUACAGCACAGGCACCAUAUAUCCACUCCUAGAUUCCUACCCCCAUGUGCUUUCCACUUUCUGGACACUGAUAGUGCCAGAGUACCAGUCUGGAAUUUAUCUCAUGGAAGUUUAAAUGCCUAGAUGUCAUAUCUCAGUUAUUCUCCCUUUUUAACUUGUGGAGAGCAACACUGUGUUGUUUUGCCUUUUUUGUCUUGGCUUUCUGGAGUGUUUACUGUGGACAUCUACUUAGAACUGUAUCAAAGUUCACAAAAAUAAGCAAUGCUAGGGCUAUCUCUAUCUUUUGAACUGAAAGGGAGGAAGAGAGGAAGGUUCAGCAACUACUAAUACCAGAGUUCAGAGCAAAACUUUCUUCUUCAUGUUUUUCCCCAUGCUUCCUAGCAGUUCCCUAGCCAGCUUCAAACUAAAACAUAUGUGUUAUGUAUCAGAAAAUACAUAUUGUGUGACACAACACACAAUUUUUAGGAAUAUGAUUUCUGGAUGACUACAGUACAUGAGUUCUGCAAGUCAUCACCACGUCCAAGCUCAUUUAAAUGCAAUACUUACAUUUCACUUAUAUAUACAUCGAUGUGUAAGUUACAUUUAUUACAUAAAAGCUGUUCUAGACAAUUUGAAAAAUAUUGAAUUCUACUAUUUUGGGAUUUUAGUAUAAUUCUCAUUUAAAACAAAACAUAAAUAUAGCUGGUUUAGGAGCCAGAAAACACCCCAAGAUGGUCUAACCUUCCUUUCUAAACUCUCAAGGCUUACCAAUGAGACAGAAUAUUUCCUUUUCCUUGAUCCUACAAGGGAAAGGAAAUAUUCUGUCUCUAGCCAAACUCCAUUCUUAUUGAUAACAAACUCACUUUGAUUUGAAAUACUGACAUGUAUAGCAAAGCUGUUUGCAGUUUGGCAUGUAAGUUAGUCAAUGUAGAACUUUGUCCAAAGAAAAUGUGUAAGAGAGAACAGAAAAUACUUAGGGAAAAUAGAGUUAUUUUAAAAAUUGACAGCUGCUUGAAUCAACUGUAAGUCAGCUCAAGAAAUACCAAGGCUCCUAGAGGAAGCAGAUUAUUGUGUGCAAAUGCAUGCUAAAUUAAUUUAUACUUUGUCAUUACGAUUUAUUAUAGAGAUUUUAUGUCCCCAGGGAUGACAUAGCAAAAAUAGAAGAAGGCCAGAACUGAUGACAAAGACACUGUUGGACAUGGAAAAAUACUGUUAUGAAGAUAGAUGAACACUGUGCUUUAAACCAGAAAUAAAUACAAGGAAAUGGAAUAAAUGUACACAGAAAAAGACUGGAAAGGUGGAUAGAACUAAUAGAAUUGCUUCUUCUCAUCAGAUAUAAACAAGGAAGCAUCCAUUUAGACAAGAGAUAAUGCAUUUAUAACUAAAAAAGGAAAUAAAUGUUUUUCAACAGUGUAAUUGCACACUGUGCAAAUUCAUUUCUGAAGAAUGUCACUGAAGUUGGAUUCAAGAAACAGGAACUUCAUGAGGAUAACAAGAGCAUCAGGUAGCACAAGGAGUUAAACCUAAUGAAACCUCCUCAGCAUUUUAUUUAAGUCAACAGUGAAACUUUGCAGAUUCAGGCCUUCUCUGCUGGUGAACUGGCGAUCUCAGCCGGAGAUAUUUUCAUGGAUAUACCAGCACUCCAAACAGGCAAAGAUCUCCAGGUGGGACCUCUGUUUUCUAGUUCCACAAUUAUCUGAAGGAAGCAAGGUGUGCUGGGGGAGGAAAAGGGGGACUGUUUCUCCCUCACACAGCUAUCUACCAGAGCAGUAGUUCUGACCCCAAGUGACAUGACUGGACUGCAGGAGUCUGCUGAGCUAUUGCAGAUAUGGCCUCAGUUUUCUUUGGAGAUCCAACUCUUACCUGCAGCUUUGAUCCAAAUUUAUAGCACAAGGACACUGAAGAGCUCAAGGCUCACCUCCAAGUUCUCUUCUUGCUCAGAGCAUUGUGAGGCCAUUAGUCACAAAAAAAAAAAAAUCUCCAAAAAGAUGGACAUCAAAAAGAGAUUGGCAAAUAAAAAUAUGGUAGAAACAUUCCAGUUGAAUGCUUAUUCUGCUGGUUAACAUCAGCAGUGGGAAGAUAACAAAGGAAACUACUCAGUGUGAAGAGGGAAUCUCAAGGCACCGGCAUAUGACUCUCCUGGGACCAAUUAUUCCUCAAGUAUUUCUCAGUGAUGCAGUGAGCACAUAAGCUCUCACUAGACCCUGCAGAAAGGAGCAAAAUUUUUUUAAUUAAGUCCUGCUGAAACCAUGUUAUCUGUCUUUCUCCCUUUUAGAGCCAGGUGCUAGCCCAAUCGUAACCAACCCUUCAAACCCUUUGAGCAGAAGGGGCUGGAGGAAAAAAAAAGAAAUAUUAGAAUGAGAAGUGAUUCCAGAGGACAAAAAAAAAACCUAAAAGGAAAAUGUGUGAGUGUGCCAGACUGAAAAGUAGAUUGAUGGGCACUGGAGGAGGGCAGCCCCCAACAACAUCAGUCACUCCUGGAAUGUGUCCAGGGAAGCCAUGGUUGCUGCCCACCAGUGCUCUCUUUGUCAGCAUGAGAAGAUGAGGGCCUGGAAGCAGAUGAUGCAGUUGGCAGGAUACCCUCAUUGAGUUUGUGUCUCAUGGUGGCGUGAAAGGCCACUUCGGCUGUAACCAGGAGGAGACUGAUGAAUAGGUCUUGUAUUUACUGCCCAUUGUGUUAUAAACAUCUCAAGUGGUCAUUAAUGAAAAUGUGUUGGAAGAAUAAAUACUCUUUAAUCUAGGCAAAAAUGAAAUACUGUUCUGCAGUGAGCAAGCCUGCUUUUUUAUAUGUCAUGUAUGAUUUAAGACAGAAUUCUGUUUAUUUGUAACUUCUAUUCUUCCCUGACAUUUAAAAUGUUCUUUAUUUGUUGUACUAAUAAUGGGCUUCAGAUGUGAGAAAACAAAUUACAUACUUCUUUUGUAGUGCAACUUCAGUGCAAUGAUCUGAAAAUACUCACUUACAUAUUAGUGAAUUAAUCCUGACAACAUAUUAGUCAAAAAAGAUCUUCAUAGCUGAAAACUCCAGCUUACCUUUUUUUUUUUUUUUCCCUCUUUUUCAAAGUUUGCCAUUACUGGAAUAAAACAAAAAAUCAUGAUUAAUAAUAAAGCACUAUGUAUGCUUGAAGCCAAAAUACACAGAUUUUCUAGCAAGCACUGUCAGAUCUUUUACUAAACAAGCAGCAACAUCCUGACUUCAUGUUUUUGCUGUUUAUCCACUAGCCCACUUUCUUUGCCAAUUCCACAUCUACACUAACAAGCACUGUUGCAGAGCUGUCACCAAGUAGUCAUGGAUUGUGUAUCUACAAAUACAUUUUUUUAAAUGAUCAAAACCUCAAAAUAUUCUCAUCCGAGUAAUACAACUUUCCCAAAGCCACGGAAGCUGUUAUCAAGCCUACAGAAGAAUAGGAACAUAGAUGUUUCCUCAUUUAUAUAUUUCUUAACAAUUUUCCAGUUCCACAAUUCCCUGUUCCCUCAAAGCAAUUGUCCCAUUGUGGUUUUGUUUUCUACUGCUUUGCAUUGAUCAAUGUAAUAUGAAAACUCCACAUCUGAGAAAGACUUUUUAUUUUCUCCAGUGCUAGCACAAAUCACAGGCAGGCAGUCAUUGCUUUAUGUAAUUUGGGAAGACACCUAAAUAGCAUGCUUCUGUCUGCAGAGAAAAAAUGUGAAUAUCCUCGUGCUGGAGAGAAGGGAAGGUGCAAGGCUGUUUAUCAUGCAGCUGUAGCAAUAGC